ACCUGAUAACACAAGGCUGGGGGAAGCUAGGGAGGGAGGGAGGUAGAGGAGGAGGCAGAGACCUGAUAACACAAGACUGGGGGAAGCUAGUGAGGGAGGGAGGUAGAGGGGGAGGCAGAGACCUGAUAACACAAGACUGGCGGAAGCUAGGGAGAGAGGGAGGGAGGUAGAGGAGGAGGCAGAGACCUGAUAACACAAGGCUGGGGGAAGCUAGGGAGGGAGGGAGGUAGAGGAGGAGGCAGAGACCUGAUAACACAGGGCUGGGGGAAGCUAGGGAGGGAGGGAGGUAGAGGGGGAGGCAGAGACCUGAUAACACAAGGCUGGGAUGAGCUAGGGAGGGAAGGAGGUAGAGGGGGAGGCAGAGACCUGAUAACACAAGUCUGGGGGAAGCUAGGGAGGGAGGGAGGUAGAGGAGGAGGCAGAGACCUGAUAACACAAGGCUGGGGGAAGCUAGGGAGGGAGGGAGGUAGAGGAGGAGGCAGAGACCUGAUAACACAGGGCUGG
This 504-nucleotide long non-coding RNA is filed under the name Salmo salar (Atlantic salmon). Its description in RNAcentral is "lncRNA (ENSSSAG00000100049.1)". The record is from RNAcentral. Lineage: Eukaryota; Metazoa; Chordata; Actinopteri; Salmoniformes; Salmonidae.